ACAAAGGUAUUGAAAUAAGAUUUUAAUUGAAUGCUAAGAGAAUGGAAUUUCAGGGAAAAACUUUAUUUAAACUAAUAAUUAAAGUUUUUUUAAUUUGUGCGGAAACAAUUAUAUAAAUUAAGGACAAGAAGACCCUAUGAAUUUAUAAAACUUAUUUUUUUAUUAAUAUAACUAAUAAGUUUUAGCUGGGGCGGCAAGAAAAUAUAAAAAACUUUUCAUUAUUAAAAUGAUCCAUUAUUAAUGAUUAAAUGAAAAAAUACUCUAGGGAUAACAGCGUU
RNAcentral lists this ribosomal RNA (278 nucleotides) under Rhipicephalus appendiculatus. Its description in RNAcentral is "partial large subunit ribosomal RNA". The record is from RNAcentral. Lineage: Eukaryota; Metazoa; Arthropoda; Arachnida; Ixodida; Ixodidae.